CCCAGAGCAUGCGCUCUGCGGGCCUCCGGCCCCGACCCCGGGCCAGAAAGGAAAACAAAGAGCCCGGCGGCCCCUGGCGGCCGCCCCGGGAAGUGCAAGUGGCGCGCUCGGGCUGGAGCGCUCUGGACCCGGCUCGCUCCGCCCACGCCCCGGGAUUGUGCGUGUGUAUUUCCGAGGCUCCAAGUCCCGACCCGGGGACUGACGACCCGAGACAACUUGAAGCCAGGGUCGGCUUGGGAAGAUCUGGUGGGGCAGGGGCCGCACGGAGGAGAAAGGUCUUCCCUGCUCUCCAAAGGGUCCCCGUCAGAGAAAGAUGAGAAAUCAGACUGUCAACCACCACGGAGGGGCAUCUGGCUCAGCGUGGGGCUUAAAGGAAGGCUUUUCAAGUUUUCAUUAGAUGUUUCCUGCAUGGUUUGUCUCCUCAGUCAUGGUCCACAGGACUCUGAGAAGCUGUAGGAAUAUGCAGGCGCAGACUCAAGCCCGGCUUCAUCUCCAACGUUGUGGAAAGGGACUGUACGUCACGGGGCAGAGCCCUGAGCUCCCAUACGCCACCUGGACAGAGCCCGGGGAGAGUGACCUCCCGGGAGUAUCCACGUUGGAAUGCCUGAUUAAACAGCCUCACUCUCAAAACAUUUUCAAGAGAUUUCAUUUUCCGCAUUCCAUUCUGCCCAAGUGAAUCUGAGGAAAGCUUCUUUAAAACCCAGUUAUUACUACUGACUGUUUCAUGGUUUCUGUACUUACUGUCCUAGGAAUAUGCGGGUACAUAUGCUCACUUUCAUUUCUGUUAUCUAACAGGGCUUGUACUGGAGACUAAAUCCUUGGCUCCCAUGCACAGACUUUGACGGAGUAUGCAUGCUUUAUUUAUAUGGUUUGUAUACACGAAGUUUUGCUAAUCUUGGUUUUGGUUAAUUCAUCCAAAAUUAGCAGAAAUUUCUACCGUAUCACAUGACAGACAAAGAUGCGAAAAUAUUAACCUUUACUCAAUAAAAAGCAAUCUUCCCAGACAUGAGCAUACAUCUACAAAACUGUCAAUAUGCCAACAAGAAUACAGUGAAGUUUUAAUCUGGAUAUAUUAAAUGCAAGGAGCACAUUCAUGAAAAGAACUGGGCUGGAAUGAUUAAAUGUCAACAGGAAAACACCGACAAGCCAAAACCAAUUCUUACCCCCAAUUUUUGGAUUUACUUACCUCAGAUCAAAUUAUUUGGAAUCCUUAGCCAUUGCUGCAAAAACAAAGUAAGGUAAGAGCUUAAUCCAGUUGUACAGCAGGUAAUAAAAGCAGAUUUCUUUCCAAUCAACCUAUAUCCAGAUAGGGGGUGCUCUAGAGAGCUGUUUCCUGCAUGGUUUGUCUCCUCAGUCAUGGUCCACAGGACUCUGAGAAGCUGUAGGAAUAUGCAGGCGCAGACUCAAGGCCCGGCUUCAUCUCCAACGUUGUGGAAGGGGACUGUACGUCACCGGGCAGAGCCCUGAGCUCCCGCACGCCACCUGGACAGAGCCCGGGGAGAGUGACCUCCCGGGAGUAUCCACGUUGGUCACCGUAAUUUCAUUUGCUAACUAAAGAGCUAGAAAUAAAUUUCAACCAGUAGAGGGUGACUUCCCCAGGAUAUCCAUUCUGGGGUAGAUACUAAAUUCCCAAGUGUCAACGAAGUUCGAGUUCAAUACCGACCAGGAGUCUCAGGUCAGUAGUCUAAAUGCACUUUCAGCCAGGUACCCAAAACAGAGCUAAAAAUCCCAGUAGGCGAUUAGCACUACUGUUUAAGAAAUGGCACAUCCAGCGGGUCCCUGGGUGGCUCAGCGCCGCCUUCGGCCCAGGGCGUGAUCCUGGAGACCCGGGAUCGAGUCCCGCAUCGGGCUCCCUGCAUGGAGCCGGUUUCUCCCUCUGCCUCUCUCUUUCAUGAAUAAAAUGUUUAAAAAGAAAAGAAAUGGCACAUCCAGAGCGCUGACACAGCAAUUACGGGUCCUAUCUACAACUCGGCCAUCAGGAGUGCGCCCUGAGAUCACCCUACGUCAUAAAACAAGCGGCAGAAUUAAGAACGCUCGCUUUCGAAAUCGAUUCUUAAUCUCCGAUGGGCCGUCGGGAAUAGAAUGAUCGGCAUGCAAUCCCACCGCUUCCUAGGAGACCAGAUCAAACAACAGGGGCGGGGUGGGCCGAGCAUCUGGCAUCCUGGUGCGUGAAGCGGCAGCCCCGUAGGUCUCAGCGCGAGCGCCUGGACUAUGCGCAAGGCCCGCGGCUCGCGAGGCCUCCGCGGCCCACAUCCUGCCCAGCCCCGCUGCGCGAGCAAGCGUAGUCAGCAUGGACGCCGCAGAAGGGGCUCCAGAGAGCACGAUGCCCACAGGAACAGCUUGCUGGCAGGCCCCGGGGUACUAAAGCUAGAAGUAACCAACCGAAAGGGUAAAACUCUUACCUACUAAAGACCAAACGGCGCCGCAGUCUUUCUCCAAAAGGCCGUACAACCCCCAAGGCAUCCUUAUUUAUACCUUCUGAAGCGGGCGGAAGUCAAGGUAUCUCUAUUGCGCCUGCGCAGCGCCCUGCGCAGUUAGGGAAUCGGAAAUUCGCAAAGGAUGCUGGGAGUUUAAGCCCCACCCCUACCCGACUCAGAGGCUUCUCGCGACAAUAGAGCCUCGCGCGUGGGAACCUGCUGGAGAAUGUGAAUUACGGAAACGGAGUUUGGGAGUAUGUAGCCUGGUGCUGAGCAGCAAGGGUGCUCCUCAGCAAUCCGCUCGCCCAGUCUGGACGAUAUAGACUGAGAUAAACCCGCUAGCCUCCAUCCCCCAACGCUUUGGAGUAAUUCUAUGCAAAAUGAAAAAAAGCCGCCUAGGGACGCCUGGGUGGCUCAGCGGUAGAGCGCCUGCCUUCGGCCCAGGCCGUGGUCCUGGGAUCGUGGGAUCGAGUCCCGCAUCGGGCUUCCCGCAUGGAGCCUGCUUCUCUCUGUGUCUCUCAUGAAUAAAUAAACGAAAUCAUUUUUAAAAAAAGAGAGAGAGGAAAAAGCCAUCUAGAGAAAUGCAGGAUCUCAACAGUGAUUGAAUCUGCCCUGUCACAUGUGAAAUGAACUUUUGAUAAAUGAUAGGAAAAUAGGACAGAAAGGCUUUCACAUAAAUUGGCUAAAACUAAAAGCCUCCUGUACACGAUAAUGGAUGUAUUCGAUACUUCCGAACUGUACGCCUAAAAAGGUUAAAAAGAUGUAUGAAAGUCUUAAGAGAUGAAAAAAGCAGGGGGACUCCUACAUCUGGAACUUGCUUUGGGUCCCAGCCCUCAAAGUCCACUAGGAACAGGAAGGUCUUCUCCAAAUGCACAGCUACUACCUUCCCCGAAGACAGGGAAAAGUUGAGCAGCACCUACAUAUGCUGUGAAAUCCUCCCAUAUGGCCAAGGCAGUCUCAGGAUAAAUCAUCAGAGCAGAAUUUUCUGGCGGUUCCCAGUACAUUAAGCAAUACCACAACGAUAUCUUGUAAAAGAAGCUUGGGGGAACUCUGUUCUUCAGGGGAAAAGGAUGUAAAAAGAUUAUACCACCAAGUACAACGAUUAUGGCAAAGCAGCUGAGCAGUAUGUGGCAACAACUCUAUAACGAUUCUCCAACUUGCAAAUCUCUGGUAAAUCUCCAACUUGCCAAAAAGUGUUAACCUUCAGUCACAAUUUGUUAGAAUUUUAAAAAGGCAAUUGUUUGAAUCUAUUGGAGGACAAAUGAGGGAGAAAACAAGCUAACCAGUUCUAGUUUAUGCAGUUAGAACAUUGAACCAUCUUUCACAGCCCCCUUCUUUUUCUCUAGACUGCUCUCUGUCCCUCUGUACUGAAUUUAGGUGCCAGGCACCAUGCUUUCAUUUGUCUAAUUUCAUCCUUAACAAGCCUAUGAGGUAGGUAUUAUUCCUGUGCAUGGAUCAGACAGCUCGCUCAAGUGCAGAAAGGUUAAGUAACACACUACCGCAAACUAGGAAUUAAGAGGUAGAUCUGGGAUUUGAACCCAGAGCUAUCUUACUCCAAGGCCAAUGCUCUUAAGCACCAUGUUAUACAGCCUCCCUUGUAUCACAUACAAAAAAUAGAGUGGUUUUAAUUUUCAAGUACAAAAUUUUGUGACUGCUAUGGAAACAAUGUUAUUGAUUAGCAGGGUAAAUAAAGUCCAAA
This is a long non-coding RNA of Canis lupus familiaris (dog), 4116 nucleotides long. RefSeq lists it as uncharacterized. The transcript has 4 exons. Lineage: Eukaryota; Metazoa; Chordata; Mammalia; Carnivora; Canidae. The record is from RefSeq and is a predicted model, not a curated record.